This 599-nucleotide ribosomal RNA is filed under the name Salmonella enterica subsp. enterica serovar Typhimurium. RNAcentral describes it as "partial 23S ribosomal RNA". It matches the Rfam family "Bacterial large subunit ribosomal RNA", at positions 1163 to 1735 of the family's 2925-position model. Lineage: Bacteria; Pseudomonadati; Pseudomonadota; Gammaproteobacteria; Enterobacterales; Enterobacteriaceae. The record is from RNAcentral.
CAAGACAACUUUACGGAGUUGACGAUUGACGGAGCGAAGCGACGUCAAAGCGUUCAUUAAAGUCGAGUUGGCUUAGGGAUACGUUCGUUGGGUAGGGGAGCGUUCUGUAAGCCUGUGAAGGUGUGUCGUGAGGCAUGCUGGAGGUAUCAGAAGUGCGAAUGCUGACAUAAGUAACGAUAAAGCGGGUGAAAAGCCCGCUCGCCGGAAGACCAAGGGUUCCUGUCCAACGUUAAUCGGGGCAGGGUGAGUCGACCCCUAAGGCGAGGCCGAAAGGCGUAGUCGAUGGGAAACGGGUUAAUAUUCCCGUACUUGGUGUUACUGCGAAGGGGGGACGGAGAAGGCUAUGUUGGCCGGGCGACGGUUGUCCCGGUUUAAGCGUGUAGGUGUGUGUUCCAGGUAAAUCCGGUUCACUUUAACACUGAGGCGUGACGACGAGGCACUACGGUGCUGAAGCAACAAAUGCCCUGCUUCCAGGAAAAGCCUCUAAGCAUCAGGUAACAUCAAAUCGUACCCCAAACCGACACAGGUGGUCAGGUAGAGAAUACCAAGGCGCUUGAGAGAACUCGGGUGAAGGAACUAGGCAAAAUGGUGCCGUAACU